CAAAUGCGAUACGCAAUGCGAAUUGCAGAAUUCCGCGAGUCAUCAGAUCUUUGAACGCAAAUGGCGCUCGGUUAAAAAAUACCCGAGCAUGUUUGUUUCAGUGUGUUCGGAAUCAUAAAUCAUAAUGCGAUUGAAUUUUUUAAUUAAACAUUCUCUCGUUAAACAAGAAAGUGCUGAAUUGUUCAGUGCCAACCGAUGUAGUCACUUCUCAGCAAGUGAUCUCGGUUGUGCUCAACUGAAGAUUCACUCAAAAGCAUCUUUUUAAUUUAUUAUUCUCUCCACUCCACACCUGAAAUCAAGCAAGAUUACCCGCUGAACUUAA
Molecule: unclassified non-coding RNA, 322 nt
Filed under: uncultured fungus
Lineage: Eukaryota; Fungi
Description: sequence contains ITS1
Rfam family: 5.8S ribosomal RNA (bases 1-106)
Source: RNAcentral